This 99-nucleotide ribosomal RNA is filed under the name uncultured bacterium. RNAcentral describes it as "partial 16S ribosomal RNA". It matches the Rfam family "Bacterial small subunit ribosomal RNA", at positions 1384 to 1482 of the family's 1533-position model. The record is from RNAcentral.
UACACACCGCCCGUCACACCAUGGGAAUUUGUUGCACCAGAAGUAGGUAGUCUAACCGCAAGGAGGACGCUUACCACGGUGUGGCCGAUGACUGGGGUG